Molecule: long non-coding RNA, 440 nt
Filed under: Olea europaea (common olive)
Lineage: Eukaryota; Viridiplantae; Streptophyta; Magnoliopsida; Lamiales; Oleaceae
Description: long non-coding RNA (OEUR_LNC011375)
Source: RNAcentral
GUAGAUUCAAGUAUUUGUAAUUUGUUAAUCACAAGGAGUUGUGAUUGUGAGAUACAAAUUAUAUCUGAUUGAAUCUUAAAUCAUCCGUGGUCGUAAGUAAUAACGAGAUACGGAUAUCGUUAUUACGGAUAGACCAUCACGUGUGGCAUUUCUUACUUGUGAAGUAAGUAGCUGAUCUCACAAGUUAAAGUGUGGUGACACUUAAAUGAACACGUGGAUGUUUGUUAUAGAACAAAACAUUGGAGACCCGUCAAGAGAUUCCACAAGGAUAACUAUCUGAGUGUCGGUGGUUAAUCUCUAACGUUCGGUAGUGAAAUUGGUCCUUUGACUUGAGGUCGUCAUGGUACCUUGUAUGAGGACAGCCAUACUUUGGCGGUGUUGGAUGUUGCUUUGAAAAGGGCCGCUAAUACGACAUCGUUCGGGUAUGUCAAGAAUCGUAU